UUCUUCUCUUCUUCUUCUUCGUUCGUGUUAUCUCUCCAAUAACAACAAAGCUGAGUCUUCUUCUUCCUCCAUUUUUCUCUUCUUCGAUCAAAUAGGAAUAUUGAGGGAGACCAAUAGCAGAAGUGAGUCUUGGUAUGCUUAUAGACAUUGUGGACGAGGAGUGGAUGAGGGACACUCUCCCUGUUGAUGAUCUCCCAUUGCCUCUAGUGUUUGCUGUUAGGACUGAUGAUACUGAAAAAACCAGUAUGUUUUUUUUUC
This is a long non-coding RNA of Brassica oleracea var. oleracea, 258 nucleotides long. RefSeq lists it as uncharacterized. NCBI's taxonomy places the organism in Eukaryota, Viridiplantae, Streptophyta, Magnoliopsida, Brassicales, Brassicaceae. The record is from RefSeq and is a predicted model, not a curated record. The transcript has 3 exons.